GACGUUUUUAAAAAAAGGCGGCGUAAAGCUGUCGCUAAAGGAUGGACCUGCGAUGCAUUAGCUAGUUGGUAAGGUAACGGCUUACCAAGGCGAUGAUGCAUAGCCGAGUUGAGAGACUGAUCGGCCACAUUGGGACUGAGACACGGCCCAAACUCCUACGGGAGGCAGCAGUAGGGAAUCUUCCACAAUGGACGCAAGUCUGAUGGAGCAACGCCGCGUGAGUGAAGAAGGUUUUCGGAUCGUAAAGCUCUGUUGUUGGUGAAGAAGGAUAGAGGUAGUAACUGGCCUUUAUUUGACGGUAAUCAACCAGAAAGUCACGGGCUAACUACGUGCCAGCAGCCGCGGUAAAU
This 350-nucleotide ribosomal RNA is filed under the name uncultured Lactobacillus sp. Its description in RNAcentral is "bacterial SSU rRNA". It matches the Rfam family "Bacterial small subunit ribosomal RNA", at positions 179 to 525 of the family's 1533-position model. Lineage: Bacteria; Bacillati; Bacillota; Bacilli; Lactobacillales; Lactobacillaceae. The record is from RNAcentral.